Molecule: long non-coding RNA, 1108 nt
Filed under: Macaca mulatta (Rhesus monkey)
Lineage: Eukaryota; Metazoa; Chordata; Mammalia; Primates; Cercopithecidae
Description: lncRNA (ENSMMUG00000058680.1)
Source: RNAcentral
GAAUCCCAGAUACUCGGGAGGCUGAGGUGGGAGAAUUGCUUGAACCCAGGAGGCAGAGGUUACAGUGAGCUGAGAUCGUGCUACUGCAUUCCAGCUCCGGCAACAGAGGGAGACUCUGUCUCAAAAAAAAAAAAAAAAAAAAAAAAAAGUAUGUCUGCAAGUAACCACACAACUGCAUACUGCAUAUAUUUAUUUCAUGACAAUCCUUCCUUGAACCCCUGCUCUGAACGAUACUGGGGACCCAGUGGUGACCCAGAUGUCCUGGCUCUGCCCUCCCGGGCCACAUAGGCUAGCAGGGCAAGAGUGUUUGUGAUGAAAGUCAGUGAUUGCGUGAAUGUGUGUGUGAUUGACAGUGUUGUUGGGAUUGUGGGACACUAUGAGUGUUACUGUGUGUGUGCAGGAGUCCAUGGCCCCGGGUGUGUGACUGUGUUUCACUGUCAAUGACUGUCAACCUGUGAGUGAGAGACUGUGGCUGUCUGGGUGUGACCGUGGGACUGUAUGGGUGUGAUUGAAUGUGUGACUGUGUGAGUAACAGCUUGUGAGGUUCUAUGACUGUGCCUUUCUAUGGCUCAGCCUAUCGGAUUGUGUGUGACACUGCAUGUUUGAUUGAGUGACUGAGGCUGUGGGAAUGAGUGGCAGUUGGGGGUGGGUACCUGUGGGUGGGACAGCAUGAGAGAUUGUACACACUUGGUGCAGGGGUCCUCAGGACGAUAAGGACAAUUCAGUAACUGCCCUCACUGACGACCUUGACUACUGCCCCCUGCUCGGCUCUCUGGCUCUCUGCCCCAGAGCUCCCCACUUCCGUUCCCUGUCCCGCCUUGGCCCCGCCCCCUCCCACCACCCUGGGCUGCCAGUGCCUGUCACCUCUCCCAGAGCCCAGACGAGGCAGUGGAGGCAGCGGUGGCAGGGGGCUGCAGGAGCAAGUGACCAGGAGCAGGACGGGGGACAGAUCAUCACGCCUGGGAGUUGGGGGAGCGGGUGUGCUGCCUCGGAGUCCGCGUGUGUGAAUCCUUGAGACGGGGUGACGCUGGGGUUGGAGUCGGAGGGCAGAGGUGCUGACCCUGUCCUGGGACCUUCCGGGCCUGAUCGCCCCUACACGAACCAGACC